This 321-nucleotide ribosomal RNA is filed under the name uncultured soil bacterium. RNAcentral describes it as "bacterial SSU rRNA". It matches the Rfam family "Bacterial small subunit ribosomal RNA", at positions 26 to 338 of the family's 1533-position model. The record is from RNAcentral.
AGAGUGAACGCUGGCGGUAGGCCUAACACAUGCAAGUCGAACGGCAGCACGGUAAGAGCUUGCUCUUAUGGGUGGCGAGUGGCGGACGGGUGAGGAAUACAUCGGAAUCUACCUUUUGGUGGGGGAUAACGUAGGGAAACUUACGCUAAUACCGCAUACGCCCUUCGGGGGAAGGCCGGGGACCAGCAAUGGCCUGGCGCUGAUAGAUGAGCCGAUGUCGGAUUAGCUAGUUGGUGAGGUAAUGGCUCACCAAGGCGACGAUCCGUAGCCUGGUCUGAGAGGAUGAUCAGCCACACUGGAACUGAGACACGGUCCAGACCU